UACAGAGGUCCCGAGCGUUGUUCGGAUUCACUGGGCGUAAAGGGUGCGUAGGUGGUUGGGUAAGUUUGAUGUGAAAGCUCAGGGCUUAACCCUGAAAUGGCAUUGAAUACUACUUAACUGGAGGUUUGGAGGGGGGACUGGAAUUCUUGGUGUAGCAGUGAAAUGCGUAGAUAUCAAGAGGAACACCAGUGGCGAAGGCGAGUCCCUGGACAACACCUGACACUGAGGCACGAAAGCUAGGGGAG
RNAcentral lists this ribosomal RNA (245 nucleotides) under uncultured bacterium. RNAcentral describes it as "partial 16S ribosomal RNA". It matches the Rfam family "Bacterial small subunit ribosomal RNA", at positions 524 to 768 of the family's 1533-position model. The record is from RNAcentral.